AGAGUUUGAUCCUGGCUCAGGACGAACGCUGGCGGCGUGCUUAACACAUGCAAGUCGAACGGACCUUAUUUGGAGGAAGCUUUCGGGUAGACACUGAAUAAGGUUAGUGGCGGACGGGUGAGUAACGCGUAGAUAAUCUACCUUAAAGACUGGGACAACAGUUGGAAACGACUGCUAAUACCGGAUAAGCUAAACGGAAGGCAUCUUCUGUUUAGGAAAGGAGGCCUCUUAACAAUGCUCCCGCUUUUAGAUGAGUCUGCGUCUGAUUAGCUAGUUGGUGGGGUAACGGCUUACCAAGGCGACGAUCAGUAGUCGGCCUGAGAGGGUGACCGGCCACAUUGGGACUGAGACACGGCCCAAACUCCUACGGGAGGCAGCAGUGGGGAAUCUUCCGCAAUGGGCGAAAGCCUGACGGAGCAACGCCGCGUGAUCGAAUGAAGGCCUUCGGGUUGUAAAGAUCUGUUGACAGGGACGAAUAAGCCAUGCGAAUAGUUUGGUGUAUGACGGUACCUGUUUAGAAAGCUCCGGCUAACUACGUGCCAGCAGCCGCGGUAAUACGUAGGGAGCAAGCGUUGUCCGGAAUUACUGGGCGUAAAGGGCGCGUAGGUGGGUGCUUAAGUCAGGUGUGAAAACUCUGGGCUCAACCUGGAGACUGCACUUGAAACUGGGUAUCUUGAGGGCAGGAGAGGAAAGUGGAAUUCCUAGUGUAGCGGUGAAAUGCGUAGAUAUUAGGAGGAACACCAGUGGCGAAGGCGACUUUCUGGACUGUACCUGACGCUGAGGCGCGAAAGCGUGGGUAGCGAACGGGAUUAGAUACCCCGGUAGUCCACGCCGUAAACGAUGAAUACUAGGUGUAGGAGGUAUCGACUCCUUCUGUGCCGCAGCAAACGCAAUAAGUAUUCCGCCUGGGGACUACGGUCGCAAGACUAAAACUCAAAGGAAUUGACGGGGACCCGCACAAGCGGUGGAGCAUGUGGUUUAAUUCGACGCAACGCGAAGAACCUUACCAGGGCUUGACAUCCCUCGCUAUCUGUGGAAACACGGAGUUCCGUAGCUUGCUACGGACGAGGAGACAGGUGGUGCAUGGUUGUCGUCAGCUCGUGUCGUGAGAUGUUGGGUUAAGUCCCGCAACGAGCGCAACCCCUACGUCCAGUUGCCAGCACGUUAAGGUGGGAACUCUGGAGGAACUGCCGGUGACAAACCGGAGGAAGGUGGGGAUGACGUCAAAUCAUCAUGCCCUUUAUGUUCUGGGCUACACACGUGCUACAAUGGCCGGUACAGAGGGCGGCGAAGCCGCGAGGUGGAGCGAAUCCCAAAAAGCCGGUCUAAGUUCGGAUUGCAGGCUGCAACCCGCCUGCAUGAAGUCGGAAUCGCUAGUAAUCGCGAGUCAGCAUAUCGCGGUGAAUACGUUCCCGGGUCUUGUACACACCGCCCGUCACACCAUGGGAGUUGGCAACACCCGAAGUCGAUGAGCUAACCGCAAGGAGGCAGUCGCCUAAGGUGGGGUUGAUAACUGGGGUGAAGUCGUAACAAGGUAACC
Molecule: ribosomal RNA, 1540 nt
Filed under: uncultured bacterium
Lineage: Bacteria
Description: 16S ribosomal RNA
Rfam family: Bacterial small subunit ribosomal RNA
Source: RNAcentral